AAGUGGGAUCUAAAAGAGAUUGGUUGUUACUGAAGGACAGUGGCCAGAGAUUUCAGCUUCGCAAAUAUGGCUCAAGUACCCCAAAGGCUGAGGAGACAAGUAUCUCAGGCUCUAAUAGAACUCACGUGGACUGGCAGGUUAGAAAGCUCCACUGUUGAGAGCUGUAGCUUCCUUGAGGAAGUAGGCCUUCAUAGCCUUAGUACAGGAUUCCCUGUCUAGUUAGUUCUUUGAUAGACUGUAUUUGCUGGAUACUAUACUACAUACUUUUAUGUUGAAAUUUUUUUAAGGUAAGUUCUAUUAGUAGUCUCAGGUUUAUUUAUCAAACAUCCAAAAAUACAUUUUUGCACUUAAUAUCCUCUGUUUAUAGCAAUUAAACCAUUAAAAUGUGUCUUUAUUAUUAGGAAUGUCACAUAUAAUGAGCAUUAGAGAUGGAGAGGUGAAACUUAAGUUGGCUUAAGAAAUAACAAAUGACUGUGAGAACAAACGGAUAUGUUGUCUGGGUGGGAAGACGUCUUGUAAAAAUGUUUCUAAUUAACUUCUUUGAGCAUAAAGCAAAUGAGAUUAAAGUAGGCUAGAUAUGGAAAGGAGGUAAUAAACUAUAUGCAAUUUUUGUAGUCCUAAUGACUGAUACCUACUUUCUAAGCAAUUUCUUUUGACAAUAAAAUAUUAGGAGUUAAAAAUAUAAGUAAAAUCUGAAACAUAAAAAUAUAAAUAAGCCUAAAGCAUUAUUUCCCGCAUUGGUGGGUGUAACUCUUCUCUUUUUUAAGAAAGAUUUAUUCACUUAUUUUAUGUAUAUGAGUACACUGUCUUCAUGUAUAUCAUGUGGUUGCUAGGAAUUAAACUCAGAACUUCUGGAAGAACAGUAAGUGCUCUUAGCCACUGAGCCUUCACUCCAGUCCCUGGGUGUCACUCUUAUGCUGUGAUGUUUCUAACCUUCCUACAAUAGUAAUAGCACGGUUUUUCUGUUGACCCAUGUGUAUUACAUUUGCCUCAGAACCUCCUGUGUCACUUGGUAUGUAUCACAGCAUCUCUGUGCAUGCCUCUGCAUAUUUUGUUUUAAAAUGUACACAUUACUUUCUACAACAGAAAUAUCAUUUUAAGAAUAUAAUAUUUUGGAUUUUGUGCAUUGUAGAUUUAUAUCAGGCAUACAAGAAAAUAAAACUUUGAAUAGAUUGCUUUACCCACAGAGACCUUUAUGAUUGCUUUAAUAAAAAAUAGCUAUAUUUUUAUAAGUUUCAUAGUAAUGUGACUUUGAUACUUGUAGAGCAUCCCUGUGCACAGCUUUGACUUUAAUUGCUUGUUUAUCUGGUGAGCUCAUGCUUCUCUUUACAACUUCAUGAAGAUGCGGCUGUAGUGAGAGCCAGGAGUACCAAUAUCUCAGCAGGGCUUCCUCUUAAAUUGGAGGGUUAGGGUAAUAAUUCUCUUUGGAGUAUAUGGACAUGUGCCAACUUUUUUAUAUUUAACAAAUAUUUUACCGUGAAACAUACCAUAAUCUGUAUGUCAUUUUAAAUUCAGGCUUACUUGAUACCAGUGAAAUAUAUCUCUCCUUUGAAAUACAAAGUCCUUUAUAGUUCUUUAUAGUUGAACAUCUUUAUAUAGAGAACCGAGGUAACUUAUUUUUGUAUUAUUUUAUAAGCACAAUGACUUGGGUCAUUAAGUUUUGUAUUUUCUUUUAGGGCAUAUUGAUGCAUUUACUUCAAAGCUUUUCAUGCUAGAAGAAAUCGCUUCAGAAGAAUUAAAAGAAAAACUUGCAGCACUCAAGUAAGGAAGUGCUUUGUGGUAGGCAUUGAAGAGACUGAACUCAUGUAAUGUGAUGGUGGCUUUUCCUUUACCUCUAAAUACUGAUGAUGCUUGACUACUCUCUACAUCUUGAGGUCUCCUAACUAACUCAGUUUACUUUGUUUCCAUCUACAAUGAAACAUACUGCUAGCAACACCAGCCUUUCCACUUCAUACACAGGAGGCUAGAGCCAGAGCGUGUGUUAUAAAGCACAGGGAAACACACAUUUUAACUCUGUGUAGAGAAGAGGAGGAUGAGACAGCCACAGACUUCCAGCCCUCAGAACUAUGUGACUGAUUGGACAGGCUGACUUCUGAAAUUUCUCCAUCUUACCAAAUGUUAGACAUCAGAAGUAAAUUAGUGGUCCUCAGAACUCUGAGUGCCUCAUUGUGUGGGAAAAGCUUUUGCAGAUAGUCUCAUUCUAUCACACAACUUGGCAGGAAAGGCUAUGGUAGCAUCAUGGCCAUUUCAUACAGAGAAGCUGGGACUGGGAGUGGUUCAUUCCAGCAGUGCUAAAGUCACCACUGUUAAUGGCAAAGCGUCACACUUGAACCCUGCUUACACAAAAGUCCUCUGUCUAAGGAUUGCUUUAUAUGUGUGCACAGAAAAGUCUUUCAGUACAUUGCUAGCUAACCCCUUGCCUUACUUCUCUU
RNAcentral lists this long non-coding RNA (2432 nucleotides) under Mus musculus (house mouse). RNAcentral describes it as "long non-coding RNA chr9:69423980-69426412". Lineage: Eukaryota; Metazoa; Chordata; Mammalia; Rodentia; Muridae. The record is from RNAcentral.